RNAcentral lists this ribosomal RNA (301 nucleotides) under uncultured bacterium. RNAcentral's name for it is "partial 16S ribosomal RNA". It matches the Rfam family "Bacterial small subunit ribosomal RNA", at positions 509 to 809 of the family's 1533-position model. The record is from RNAcentral.
CAGUAGCCACGGGAAUACGAAGGGUGCAAGCGUUACUCGGAAUUACUGGGCGUAAAGCGUGCGUAGGUGGUGGUUUAAGUCCGUUGUGAAAGCCCUGGGCUCAACCUGGGAAUUGCAGUGGAUACUGGGUCACUAGAGUGUGGUAGAGGAUAGUGGAAUUUCCGGUGUAGCAGUGAAAUGCGUAGAGAUCGGAAGGAACAUCUGUGGCGAAGGCGACUAUCUGGGCCAACACUGACACUGAGGCACGAAAGCGUGGGUAGCGAACAGGAUUAGAUACCCGUGUAGUCCCUGUCUCUUAUAU